Molecule: ribosomal RNA, 164 nt
Filed under: Scabiosa columbaria
Lineage: Eukaryota; Viridiplantae; Streptophyta; Magnoliopsida; Dipsacales; Caprifoliaceae
Description: 5.8S ribosomal RNA
Rfam family: 5.8S ribosomal RNA
About the family: 5.8S ribosomal RNA (5.8S rRNA) is a component of the large subunit of the eukaryotic ribosome. It is transcribed by RNA polymerase I as part of the 45S precursor that also contains 18S and 28S rRNA.
Source: RNAcentral
CAAACGACUCUCGGCAACGGAUAUCUCGGCUCUCGCAUUGAUGAAGAACGUAGCGAAAUGCGAUACUUGGUGUGAAUUGCAGAAUCCCGUGAAUCAUCGAGUCUUUGAACGCAAGUUGCGCCCGAAGCCAUUAGGCCGAGGGCACGUCUGCCUGGGCGUCACGC